UAUAAUUUAUGUAUUUAUGAAUUUUGCAUAUUAAUUUAUACACGUAAAACACAGUAGUUUACAUUGUUUUCAAAUUAAAUCGCGUAAAUAAUUUUUAUUUAAGAGUAAACGUUUAAAACCCUGAUUCUAAUUACAAAAACUAAAUGAUUUUUAAUGUAUGCAUAUAAUAAAAUUUUUAUCUAAUAGAAAGAUUAUAAUAAAAAAAUAUAUCUAAUUUGAUUUGAUUCAACUCUUAAUAAACCAUGCGUUUAUCAUAGAAGUACAUGUAAGAAAACAUCGUGUUUUAUUAAAAAAAAACAUGUCAUAUAUUGUAUAUCGGAUUUACAGUUAUGAAUUCCAAGAAUUUAACCGCAAGUGCACAACGGGAGGGAGUCAUCAUCUAAUUGGUAAUUAAAUCAGAGCUGGGAGCGAGUGAUUCGUUCAAUUUCCAAAAUAGUUCUCACCACAGCGACAAUAGGGCGACGUUGAUUCCGUGCGGCGAUACCGCGAUAAUGCAAUUACAUAAGGCGGAAGCUGGAGAAAGUCAGAAAGAGAAAGAUGGAAACGGAGAGGGAGAAGAAGAGAGAGAAACCAGAAAGGCAGUUACCGAACUAACAUCCCCUAUAUUGAUCUUACGGUCUUGCAGUUCUCUCCUUCUCGUCUUUGGUUUGCACGCAUCUUCCGUGCACGUGCAAACCAGCAGGAAUGUAAGAAAAUUUCACAGUUCCCUGAGAAUAAGCAAUUUUUAGUUGGUAAAAUUAACACGAUUUUCUUUUAAAUUCCUAAAUAUAUUUAUAUAGCGGUAAGUAAAUUUGUGCAAUACAAUUUUAACCUUUGUCUUUAAUAAAUAGAAAUUUGAGUUUUCCGAAUUAAAACGAGGAUUAGCUCCGGAAAGCACUCGAAUUAUUAAAGUACUCUAAGUAUAAAAUAGCUUCAAGAAAUUAUUUACCAUAAAAUGUAUAUAGAAGGCACUUUAUUGUGCGUUAAAAUCUGAUAAAGUCGCGUGAUUUCGCGGUUAUCUCUGAAAAUGCACGCGUUUCUCUGACUGCGACAUACUCUUAAUGCAUAUGUAUGGACUUAGAAGACAGUUCGGGUUACCUAGACAUCGGAUUAUCGCGUAAAGUUCUCACUGCCAUAAAGACCAUUUCGCAACUCUGCAAAUGCCGAUACCAGUUUACAGAAAGGUACCACGAACAUUUAAAAAACUUACCAUGAGAAUUACCUGCGUUAAUCUUUUCGCGAUAAAAAUAAACUUAUUUAUUGCCUGUGACGUAAAGUAUAUAAAAUGGAGUUACAUAAAAUAUAACAUUAAAAAAUUGUUAAAGGUAAAGUUCAUAUUUUUUUUUAAGAUCUGUAAAAAUUUGAUUUGUUUGCUAACUAAAUGUAUAUAAUAUUAAUUCAAUCUAACAUAACGCCAUGAAUCUGUAAAAUAAUACUGAAAUGAAAGCUUCUAGAAAAAUAUAAUUUUCUUGUCGGUUUCUCACGGUCAGAGUUAGAGAAGCGCAAACGUAAUAUAAGUUUUCUAUUCUACUUUCGCGACGUAGCGAAGCGGUCCUCUGAGCAUAGAACCCCCUUGUGUAAAUAUCUCAGAGAUCCAAUAUUGUAUUCGGAGAAGAUGAUCUUAUAUUCGUGAAUUUAAUAUAAGAUAUUUGAAAUUCUAGUUAUAUAUGUCGUCAUAAAGACCCAGUUAGAAU
Molecule: long non-coding RNA, 1673 nt
Filed under: Monomorium pharaonis (pharaoh ant)
Lineage: Eukaryota; Metazoa; Arthropoda; Insecta; Hymenoptera; Formicidae
Description: uncharacterized LOC118644734
Source: RNAcentral